This is a long non-coding RNA of Aplysia californica (California sea hare), 547 nucleotides long. RefSeq lists it as uncharacterized. The transcript is spliced from 2 exons. The record is from RefSeq and is a predicted model, not a curated record. Lineage: Eukaryota; Metazoa; Mollusca; Gastropoda; Aplysiida; Aplysiidae.
GCGGUGCGAUCUGAUGCCACGCCACAGCCGCCGGAGGGGGAGCGAAGACAGAACGCUGCUCGCCACGGAUAAGCGGGUUUUGUUGCCUCCAUGCGGAGCCGAGUGAGCUCUGGCCUGGCUUCUUUUCGACAAGCUCUCCUCUGUUCUAGUUUCGCUAUGAACGUGAACUGGCCACCUUGUGCGACAACGUUACGUGAAGCAGCGGAGACGUUUCACCGGUGCUCUGACCGUAGUUGUGUCCCGUCACCUUUCGUUUCUCAUCACGAGGAUUAUCAUCACCCCUGUGGCCUUGACACUUUUCAGAGAGCUCCGUGCACCCGAGGUCGCCUUUUCCUGCCUUGCGUCCUGACCUCUGACUGAGCCCGUGCUUGUAUUCAACCUUUUGACAUAUCGGUCAUCUGUUGAUUCUGUUGUUGUUCCGGGAGUGUAUUGAAUAAAUACGUAUCAAAGCCGACUUGCAUAAUAAUGUGGACAGUGGACAUAUUACAGUGACACAGGUUGCAUUGCAUUUGUUAUUGCCUUCGGAAGAAGUCUUUAUACAGCUAAA